Molecule: ribosomal RNA, 460 nt
Filed under: uncultured bacterium
Lineage: Bacteria
Description: partial 16S ribosomal RNA
Rfam family: Bacterial small subunit ribosomal RNA
Source: RNAcentral
CCUACGGGUGGCAGCAGUGAGGAAUAUUGGUCAAUGGACGCAAGUCUGAACCAGCCAUGCCGCGUGCAGGAAGACGGCUCUAUGAGUUGUAAACUGCUUUUGUACGAGGGUAAACGCAGAUACGUGUAUCUGUCUGAAAGUAUCGUACGAAUAAGGAUCGGCUAACUCCGUGCCAGCAGCCGCGGUAAUACGGAGGAUACAAGCGUUAUCCGGAUUUAUUGGGUUUAAAGGGUGCGUAGGCGGUCGGAUAAGUUAGAGGUGAAAUCCCGAGGCUCAACUUUGGAAUUGCCUCUGAUACUGGUCGGCGAGAGAGUAGUUGCGGUAGGCGGAAUGUAUGGUGUAGCGGUGAAAUGCUUAGAGAUCAUACAGAACACCGAUGGCGAAGGCAGCUUACCAAGCUACUUCUGACGUUGAGGCACGAAAGCGUGGGGAGCAAACAGGAUUAGAUACCCCAGUAGUC